GAUUUGGAGAAAUCAUACGAUAUUUUAUUGGAACGACAGAGAGAGACAAGCAUGGCUCCGGCGCAAGGGUGACGUGUAAAAUCGUGAAGCGCUCCACAUCUUU
RNAcentral lists this small nuclear RNA (103 nucleotides) under Rhipicephalus sanguineus (brown dog tick). Lineage: Eukaryota; Metazoa; Arthropoda; Arachnida; Ixodida; Ixodidae. The record is from RNAcentral.